Molecule: long non-coding RNA, 1288 nt
Filed under: Gadus morhua (Atlantic cod)
Lineage: Eukaryota; Metazoa; Chordata; Actinopteri; Gadiformes; Gadidae
Description: lncRNA (ENSGMOG00000027830.1)
Source: RNAcentral
AAAAGCCUUCAUACUUCGAGGAAUUACUGUGUUGGCUGAGUUCGUCGAUGCUCACAAUUGAAAGCAAUAUUGUCUUUUAAUUUGUUUGUUUUUGUUUGGCUAAGAGAGAAUCGAGGGAGGGGCUCUUCUAAGGAAGCUCCAGUGCCUGAUGGCCCACAACUGGGCACACUGUUAACUGAUGGAGGGGUUUGCUCUUCCAAAAUAAUGUACUUAUGCAGUUACACAGGUCAAGUUAAAACAUGGUUAAAUAGUGAUACACCAAUCUUACUUGUGUAAUUCAACAAAUUAACUGUACCCAUGCGUUCAUUACAUUUAGCGGGUACCUGAAACAUUUGAAAAAAGUUUUCUAUCCUGGUUGCUUUUGUUCUUGAAGCCAGAAAUAAAUAAGCCUACAGAGAAAUAAGACAAUGUUCAAGGUGGUAAUGAGCAUUUCCGUGGUAAGACGAUAAUCGGUUGCUCAAGAUGGACUAGGGGGCGAAUCCAUCAUUUAGUCCAAGGUUCUUUUUACGGCUUUUGGUUAAAACAAAACAAAUAUCAAUUAAGUGGUUUCUCCAACACUAAAAGAUCCAUUGUGUUCAAAUGAGUACAUAUAUCUAGGAAGACCAACCUCCAGAGAACAGGGAUCCUGAGCUCUGGGUCCAGAUACAGCACCAACGCCCCUGGGAAUCCAGUCAAACUGAGCUAUGCUCCUGGAAGAGGACUCCAAUGAUGUGAAUCAUAUUUGUGUGUUUCUUUUCUUUAAACCUUCCACACACACACACGCAGAAGAAAGAAAAUGAAAUCACUCUAAAAUAUAUAAAGAGAUAUCAAAGAGAGUAUACCGAGGGCCAAGUGUCAGACGCAACAGGUUCACAGAGAAAAGACAUUCAAUUAAAAUGGAGGAAAAAAAAUACAAAAAGAAAAUUACAUUGAAGUUGAAAUCAUUUUUUUAGUAAGCGAUGCUUUUGGAAAUGGUUUUGUUGUUGAGAGGGUCGACCAGGUGACCCACCCUCUGGAAUGUCAUAUAACUGCAUAGUAGUAUUCAGACCGGCGUCUCCCAAUAGAGUACCAUGUUGGCUUCAUUGAAUUAUCUCGAUAGUUAAAUCUGUAUUUUAGUAGCAUUGAAAGAGUACGGUGGUCAAUAGAAGCUGGCUAAAUGUAUCGCCUCAAAUAAAAAAUACAAUACAAAAAAAAAAUAAUGAAAUGGAAAACCAAAACAUUUGGAUAAGUCACACCAAAUCCGUUCACUUCUCUGCAUAACGUUUUGCUUGGCAACAGAGACCAAAGUUCUGCAACAGAUGCAAAGCGU